UGUCAAUGUAUUUUGAGCUUAUUUUGGGGACUAUGGGUUGGGAGGUAGAACCAGACCUCACUUCAACAGAAAUAAAAAAAAUUUGAAGAUUUUCAUGCACAUGAAUGUGUACCAGAUGCAUGGAUGGUGCCAUUGGAGGUCAGAGAAGACAUAAGAUCCCAUUGGAUCCCCUGGCACUGGAGUUACAAGUGGCAGCGAGCUGUCCCCUGUGUUCUGGGAGCUGAACUCUGGUCUUCUAGAAGAGCAGCCUGUGUUCUUUACAGCUCAGCCAUCUCUCCAGCCCCAUCCUUGGGGUAUUUAUCUCUUUCCCUUUGUUUCUGCAGUGUUUGGGGAAUGCACUCAGGACCCGUUCGUAACAGACAAGUGUGUCAUAGCAGAUCUAUGUCUCCAGCUCAAAGCUUUCUCCACAGCAGCAACGAUUCUUCCGGGAAAGGUAAGUGUUCCCUGCAGGUAGUGUCCCUUCCCGGACUUCGCACUGCGCUGAGAGCAGUUAAUGGGUAUCCCUUCCCACAGUCCUUUUCCACUCACCAAACUGUACCCACCUCUGCUUCCCCCUCAUUCCCUGGCCACCAUUCUGCAUCCUGACAUGGCUUAGGAGUCCACGGGAUCUGGGUCCUGCCAACUGCCUAGACCUCAUUCUCUAUCUCGGCUCUUAUUUGGUUUCCUCAUGGUCACUCUGGCCCCCCUGGCUACUUUGGACCACGGCUCACUCAGGGCUUUCUGUCCCUAUGCUGCGACUGUCCCCAGACAGCUUCUAGCUCCUACCUCACAUACUCUAAGAUCGUUUGAAUGUGAACUGUCCCUCCCAGGCUCAUACGUUUGAGCACUCAGUCCUCAGUGAGGAGUGCUGUGUUGGGGGUUGUGGAACAUUCAGGAUGGGGAUCAUGAUUCGUAAAGACAUUUGUAAAGAGGACACUCGGGUUGGCCUCUAAGAAUGAUAACUCAGCCUCUCUUCCAGGCCUACCACCACUUCCUGCUGUGAUAUAAGCAAGCCACAAUCUCCUGUAGCCAUUAACUGAACCCGCAGGCACCAUGUCUUCCCUCAGAUAAGCGACUGUUUUACUUAGGGUUUCCGUUGCUGUGAAGAGACACCCUGACCACAGUGACUCUUAUAAAGGAAAGCAUUUAAUUGGGGCUGGCUUACAGUUCAGAGGUUUAUUUAGUCCAUUACUGUCAUGGUAGGAAGCACAGGUAAGAGCUAGUGAUGAUAACCUAGUGACCUUGGAUGAUCUAGUGGCCACACAUGGAGUGUGCCUCUUCGAGCUGAUGGGAUCAGUGUUAGGUCAAGACAAGAGUGAACGGUGCCUCUUAGGAUCUAGGCCUAAACAUCAGAAGGAUGAUGCGGCCAUGUCUGUAUCAUGGAGAGGGACGGGUACCACUCUCAGGAUGUUGGAAACGAGUGCCUGGAAAUCCUGCUGUUUUAGCAGGGGAUGCUUCCUGCCCGUAGCCCAUUGGUGGCUUCACAAGAGGAGUGGUCAAGUUGAAGAUGGAGUUGCUGUGUGGAAGGUUCAGCUUACAAGCCAUUGGAGAAGCAUGGCUGGGCACAGGCAGCGGCCUCUAGCUCUUGGGCUGGCCAGCGCUUCUUCCUCCUUCCUCCUCUCUUCCCUCUGUCCCUCCCUCUUUCCCUCCCUUUUGGAAAGGGUCUCACUAUGUAGCUCAUACUGGUCUGAUCCUCCUGCCUCAGCCUGAGUGCUUGGACAGCAGGCUUGCACUGAAUUACUGGCUCAUUCUGACGUUGCUGCAGCUGUUGCUGCUCGAUGCAGAGUUAAACACUGAAGCCCUGUGUGGACUGGUAUCAGAGGGAGCUGCGGACCCUGAUUGGCUGGUAAGAGGGAGCUCCGGACUCUGAUUGGCUGCUGCAGCCUAUCACGACUCAUCGGGACUAGAAAAGAAGAUAUGACCAUGGAGUGGGCGUGGAGGACGGACAACUCUUCAAGGGGGGUGUGGGGGAGAGAGCGUCACACUUUCCAGUUUGCUCUUCUGCACUCUUCUCCAGUUCCAGGGCAGGCAGCCAGUCCAGGCUCCUGUCUCAGCCUUAGUGGCCCCUUCUUGCCCUUCAAUUCGGAAAAGCCUGGUCCUGCUGCAGGAUCGGUCUAGGUACUCUAGACCUGGACACUCCUCAACAUCCCCCCGCCACUUGAGCACCCCUUCCCAACCCACAUCAGGUUGUUCUUAUUGCUACCCAGUCUGUUUGCCCCCUUGCUCAAGACCUGUCCUGCUCACUCAUGUCUCCACCACUCAAAAUGGCCUCCCUUGUUGAAGGAAGUCUCUGCAUACCUGACAAGCAGACAGCAAUAGUAGGGAAAUACUGUUGGCCAUUUCUUAGCUCAUUUUUAGAUUCUUAUAUCUAUCACCCUUCCAACCCUUAUCAAAUUUUCCCAGAAUUCCAAACAAACUAUCUGCUGCUGGCAAAAAACACACCCCUCCUAGUGCACGAGAUAAAUCGUAGUCACCUGCUAUGAGGCAAGCCCAUAUCCCAUACUAAACAUAGUCACAUAACAUAACUGUUUUUUGUUUUUUUGUUUUUUAGGAAACCAGAAUUCCCACCUCACACCACAGCUAUUUCUAACGCUGCAAUGGGCGUGGCUCUACCUAAGUUGUCACCGAGUGGAAAGGUCAGAUGCUGCCUUCCCAUGAUGCAACAGCAAAGGCCUAAAAUCCCGUUCCACACAGAGCCUUCACUGCGGUUUCCCUUUCAGCGUCUGGGUGCGGAGUGAGAAUACGCAGGGCCUGCAGAAUGCGGGGCUCACAGCAACCCUCCUAUAAAAGUGGACUGUCAUGCCCAUUCUACAGGAGAAAAACUGAGGCUGGAGAACGCGAGCUAUCCUGUCCAAGGUUAUGAAGCCACCCAGGUUCCAGCCUCCAUGCUUGCCCAGGGAGUGGCACUAUUAGAAGGCGUGGCCCUGUUGGAGUAGGUGUGUCACUGUGGGCGUGGGCUUUAAGACCCUCAUCUUAGCUGCCUGGAAGUCAGUCUUCUGCUAGCAACCUUCAGAUGAAGAUGUAGAACUCAGCUCCUCCUGCACCAUGCCUGCCUGGAUGCUGCCAUGCUCCCACCUUGAUGAUAAUGGACUGAACCUCUGAACCUGUAAGCCAGCUCCAAUUAGAUGUUGUCCUUAUAAGAGUUGCCUUGGUCGUGGUGUCUGUUCACAGCAGUAAAAUCCUAAGACAGUGACCCAGCCUUGAGUCUAGCUGCUCUUACUCUUAAACCUGUCCGUGGUCUGCAUGAAAAUGGCCCCCAUUGGAUCAUAUAUUUCAAUACUUUGUCCCCAUUUGGUGGAACUCUUUGGGAAGGUUUGGUGGGUGUGGCCCUUUUGGAGACUCAUGAGUGUAAGCAUAGAAUCUUGCUAAAUUGUCCAGGCUGGUCUCAUACUUUGAUUCUCCCACCUCAGUCUUCCUAGCAGAUGGGAUUAGAUAGAUACAGACCUCAGAUCCACUGCCUUCUGCUCUUAGUCAGGGCUGGGAAGCAAACCAAGAGUCUCUAUAUAAAUAUUUCUGGGCUGGUGAGAUGGCUCAGCUGGUAAGUAAAGGUGCUUGAUGGUAACCAACCCAAAUUAGACCUCUGAUACCCGGGGGGGUGGGGGGACGGACUGUGCAUAAAUGUUUUUGGGCCUAAGAAACGGCUCAGCAGGUAAAGACACUUGCAUCCAAGCCAGACGACCGAGUUUUGAUCCCCCAGGACUGGACCAAUGGAUAUGAUGAAAAUGAACUGACUCUGGAAAAUUGACCUUUGCCCUCCACAGGCAUACUGAAGUUCUGAUUCGCAAGCUCCCCUUUCAGCGUCUGGUGCUGGAAAUUGCUCAGGACUUCAAAACAGACCUGUGCUUCCAGAGGGAAUCUAUUGGUGCUUUGCAGGAGGCAAGCGAGGCCCAUCUGGUUGGCCUUUUGAAGAUACCAACCUGUGUGCUAUCCAUGCCACACGUGUAAGAAUUAUGACAAAAGACAUCCAGCUAGCACGCCCCAUACGCGGAGAACGUGCUUAAGAGUCCACUAUGAGGGGAAACAGUUCAUUCUCAAAAAUUUUUUUUCCUCUUCUUCCUGUUAUCAGUAGUUCUGAAUGUUAGAUAUUUUUCCAUGGGGUGAAAGGUACCGAAGUCUAUAAUUCCAAGUGGAAACAUAGGGGACAGAAUCAGGUAUUGGCAGUUUCUCCACGUUCAUUUGUGUGUGAAUUUUUAAUAUAAAUGCAAGAUGUUAAAGCAUUGAUGCAAGCAAAAUGUUUCAGUGAACACAUUUCAACAGUUCAACUUUAUAACAAUUAUAAAUAAACAUGUUAAAAUGCUCUGGACAAUGCCAGCAUUUGGAUUUUUUAAAAAUAAGUAAAUUUCUUAUUGACAGCAA
This is a non-coding RNA of Rattus norvegicus (Norway rat), 4335 nucleotides long. NCBI's taxonomy places the organism in Eukaryota, Metazoa, Chordata, Mammalia, Rodentia, Muridae. The record is from RefSeq and is a predicted model, not a curated record.